Molecule: non-coding RNA, 2604 nt
Organism: Pelobates cultripes (western spadefoot toad)
Lineage: Eukaryota; Metazoa; Chordata; Amphibia; Anura; Pelobatidae
Source: the annotation of a GenBank genome assembly
GAACAAUAAAGAAGAGACCAAGAAUGAAAAUAUAAAAAUGCAACAGAGAAAAAAAGCUAUAGACCCACUAAAACACCAAAAGGUCAUUGCAAGAUCAGAUGUUGAUGGCUUUUACUAUCAAGGUAACAUGUUAUACAAUGUAAAAAAAAAUUAUUUUGUUCACAAGGAAUUAAAAAAAUUGUUGUUUCGAUAAUUUGUCUUGGUAAAAAGUGAUAUCUAAUGCUGUAAUCUUACUAUAUAGUCAUGGAGCUGUGUGGGAUAACAUUAAGUGGUAUGAGUGAUUUCUGUGAACUUAAAAAGUGGAUGGGAUGGGAGAACAGAUUCCAUCAGAACAGUUUGCAUGGUUUCUGAUAAGGGAUUAACUUUCCCCCUCCAAGUCAUGAUGGUCUACAUCAAUGUACACAUUGAUUAAGAGGAGUGGGCUUGUGAGAUAGCGAGAAGUGAGCUGUUGAUAUGGUGAUAUCAAAAGGCUAUCCACUGACCAGAUUUCUCAUGGUUCUUAUACCCAUGGGUCUUACAACAAUAAGAUGACUAUGCGGGGCUGGAUAUCAGCUAUAUGACCAUAUGGGCAAGUGACGUCGUUGCUGUGUACUCAUUCUUCACAGAUAGCUGAGUGUGUGCCGGAUAAGUGAUAUUUACAAAGAGUCAUAUCACAUAACCAUACAAAAUUAGCAUCAACUGAAUAAAAAGCUCAUCUUCCACUUACAUUGUUAGAUUUCUAAAUCUUUUUACAUAGAACCCAACUUAGUUUAGCAAUCUGUGAUUACUUAAAACUAUAGAACACAUCAGUGCAACAAUAUCAGAAUAUAUUUGAACAUAAUACAAUGUCACUGAAUUUAUCUCCAGCUUGUACGUAUGAAUGUAAGCAAAAAAGCAAAAAAUAAUUCCAUACACUAUACAUUUAUCUAAAAUAUAUUAUUUCUAGUUUUACAAUGAAUAUGUCCUUUAUUUUUUCUUUGUGUAUUGAAUUUGCCAUUCCUUGUAGGUACUGUCAUAAAGACCAUCCACUCAAAGCAUGCUGAAGUAGAUUUCUGCCAAGGGGAAAAUCAGAUUAUUCCCAUUAAAUUUAUAAUACCAACUGGAGGAUCUGUGCCCUGCCCGCCUCUAAAGGUUAAACAAUUAUUUUAUUAUUAUGACAAUUUUUAAAAUGAUUCAUGUAUUUGGUUGGCCUUGGCAAAUGUCAGACAAAAUUAAUUGUAGAAAAGGAAGAAAUAUUGAAUUGCUACAUAAGAAGUUUAUAUUCCUUUUUUUCUAAAUAAGCUGUAAAUCCUUUUAUUGUUCAAUGGAAUCUAUAUUUUUUAUUUUUUUAUUUUUAUUUUUUUUAAUCUUUAUUUUAUUUGUGCAUAGGUUUUAUAGACAGGCUGGCAAUGCCAUGACAUCUAUUGCUAGCCACAUAAACAUCGAAAAAACUAUGGUCUGGCAUUUAAGGUCAUAGCACAUUUUUUUUAAGAAAAGAUAAUUUGUUUAUGUCUUAGAACUGCAAAGUAUGAUUUCAAGUAUAAAGAGAAAUACUUAAGGCAAUGUGGCAUGUGAGAUAGUAAACAGAAAGCUAGUACAGAUAAGAAGAACACAUGCCAUUGUUGCUAAAGAUCCCUGAGCCCAACCAGAUUUUUAGCUAGUCAGAUGAGCAUAUUAAAAAUAAAGCAAAGCAAAAAAGGCAAAGUAACAGUGAGUUAGACAUGAAGCGGCACCCCUAAUCCCCACAUAGAAACCCCUCAGUCCCCUGCACCAGUAAGAUUCAGUCCCAUAACACUGACAGGCUGUGUCAGAUCGCUAUACUUCAAAGAGGUGCAGGACCACGGCGGUCGCAUCGGGUCAUCUUCCUGUGGUGAGUAGUGAGAAGUCAUCUUGAGUCACCGGUGUUUUCACUCCAAUUGUGUAGUGGCACAGCUGUAGGGCAUCAAGUACUCUCCAUCAUAGGGCUUCGGUGUCGAUUGAUAGUGCCUGGUUUGGGUCCCAAGAGCCGCAAGUGAUCCGGUUUUUCAUGGAUGCCCGCAGAAGGUGUCAAGAACCCCGAGGGAGGCUGCCUUCUUCAGAGAGUGCUCAAAGUUCAGAGCAGGCUCCGCCGCCAUCUUGCGAGGUGAGAGUGACCUCCGACCAUUUCUGGCGUGAGAAGGGCCCCAGGGUGGAUCGGGAUGACCCCCCCGGCCUCUCAAAUCAAAAGGGGGUGUAGAGUAACUGCCACCCGGCAGGACAGCAGAGUGGCGGCCGUCCACUCCACUCACCACCUGGGUAGGCCUUAGUUGCUGGGAGUUGUGCCAUGAAGGAGCAAUAGACUGAUUUGGGGUUUCAAAGUUGUGGCAGCACCCCUGGAUGGUAUGGGUUCUUACUCUGUAGCUCCAGAUGCCGGGUUGAACCCACUAAAUGGGUCGAAAAGCUGGGAUGUAGCAGGAGCUGUACAUGCGUUUAGCAGGCAUGGUGGCCCGCCCCCACCCCCUGAAUCUAUAUAUUUUUGCAUAUUUUCUUUUCCUUUUCUCUCUCUCUGUUGCACUAUCUCAACAAGUUCUCAUUGUGGCAUACUUCAGAUCUUCCCUAUCUAUAACUUGGUCAAUAUAAGUUAUCUUUCCCAUCUAUAUGUCAAUCAUUUGAAAUGAGACAUUUUUA